RNAcentral lists this ribosomal RNA (483 nucleotides) under uncultured bacterium. RNAcentral's name for it is "partial 16S ribosomal RNA". It matches the Rfam family "Bacterial small subunit ribosomal RNA", at positions 28 to 507 of the family's 1533-position model. The record is from RNAcentral.
GACGAACGCUGGCGGCGUGCUUAACACAUGCAAGUCGAACGCUGAAGCUCAGCUUUUGUUGGGUGGAUGAGUGGCGAACGGGUGAGUAACACGUGAGUAACCUGCCUCCUUCUUUGGGAUAACGCCCGGAAACGGGUGCUAAUACUGGAUAUUCACUGGUCUUCGCAUGGGGGUUGGUGGAAAGGGUUUUUCUGGUGGGGGAUGGGCUCGCGGCCUAUCAGCUUGUUGGUGGGGUGAUGGCCUACCAAGGCUUUGACGGGUAGCCGGCCUGGGAGGGUGACCGGUCAGAUUGGGACGGAGAUACGGCCCAGACUCCUACGGGAGGCAGCAGUGGGGAAUAUUGCACAAUGGGCGCAAGCCUGAUGCAGCGACGCCGCGUGAGGGAUGGAGGCCUUGGUGUUGGGAACCUCUUUCGCUCAUGGUCAAGCCGCAACAAUGGUUGUGGUGAGGGUAGUGGGUAAAGAAGCGCCGGCUAACUACGUG